RNAcentral lists this ribosomal RNA (461 nucleotides) under uncultured beta proteobacterium. RNAcentral describes it as "bacterial SSU rRNA". It matches the Rfam family "Bacterial small subunit ribosomal RNA", at positions 200 to 642 of the family's 1533-position model. Lineage: Bacteria; Pseudomonadati; Pseudomonadota; Betaproteobacteria. The record is from RNAcentral.
AGGAAAGCAGGGGAUCGCAAGACCUUGCGCUUUUGGAGCGGCCGAUGUCUGAUUAGCUAGUUGGUGAGGUAAAGGCUUACCAAGGCGUCGAUCAGUAGCUGGUCUGAGAGGACGACCAGCCACACUGGGACUGAGACACGGCCCAGACUCCUACGGGAGGCAGCAGUGGGGAAUUUUGGACAAUGGGGGAAACCCUGAUCCAGCCAUGCCGCGUGAGUGAAGAAGGCCUUCGGGUUGUAAAGCUCUUUCAGCCGGAACGAAACGGUCACAGCUAAUACCUGUGACUACUGACGGUACCGGAAGAAGAAGCACCGGCUAACUACGUGCCAGCAGCCGCGGUAAUACGUAGGGUGCGAGCGUUAAUCGGAAUUACUGGGCGUAAAGCGUGCGCAGGCGGUUUUGUAAGUCAGAUGUGAAAUCCCCGGGCUUAACCUGGGAACUGCGUUUGAAACUACAAAGCU